This 670-nucleotide ribosomal RNA is filed under the name Staphylococcus sp. Its description in RNAcentral is "bacterial SSU rRNA". It matches the Rfam family "Bacterial small subunit ribosomal RNA", at positions 337 to 998 of the family's 1533-position model. Lineage: Bacteria; Bacillati; Bacillota; Bacilli; Caryophanales; Staphylococcaceae. The record is from RNAcentral.
UCCUACGGGAGGCAGCAGUAGGGAAUCUUCCGCAAUGGGCGAAAGCCUGACGGAGCAACGCCGCGUGAGUGAUGAAGGUCUUCGGAUCGUAAAACUCUGUUAUUAGGGAAGAACAAACGUGUAAGUAACUGUGCACGUCUUGACGGUACCUAAUCAGAAAGCCACGGCUAACUACGUGCCAGCAGCCGCGGUAAUACGUAGGUGGCAAGCGUUAUCCGGAAUUAUUGGGCGUAAAGCGCGCGUAGGCGGUUUUUUAAGUCUGAUGUGAAAGCCCACGGCUCAACCGUGGAGGGUCAUUGGAAACUGGAAAACUUGAGUGCAGAAGAGGAAAGUGGAAUUCCAUGUGUAGCGGUGAAAUGCGCAGAGAUAUGGAGGAACACCAGUGGCGAAGGCGACUUUCUGGUCUGUAACUGACGCUGAUGUGCGAAAGCGUGGGGAUCAAACAGGAUUAGAUACCCUGGUAGUCCACGCCGUAAACGAUGAGUGCUAAGUGUUAGGGGGUUUCCGCCCCUUAGUGCUGCAGCUAACGCAUUAAGCACUCCGCCUGGGGAGUACGACCGCAAGGUUGAAACUCAAAGGAAUUGACGGGGACCCGCACAAGCGGUGGAGCAUGUGGUUUAAUUGGAAGCAACGCGAAGAACCUUACCAAAUCUUGACAUCCUUUGACCCU